Molecule: ribosomal RNA, 2886 nt
Filed under: Pseudomonas aeruginosa
Lineage: Bacteria; Pseudomonadati; Pseudomonadota; Gammaproteobacteria; Pseudomonadales; Pseudomonadaceae
Description: bacterial LSU rRNA
Rfam family: Bacterial large subunit ribosomal RNA
Source: RNAcentral
CAAGUGAAGAAGCGCAUACGGUGGAUGCCUUGGCAGUCAGAGGCGAUGAAAGACGUGGUAGCCUGCGAAAAGCUUCGGGGAGUCGGCAAACAGACUUUGAUCCGGAGAUCUCUGAAUGGGGGAACCCACCUAGGAUAACCUAGGUAUCUUGUACUGAAUCCAUAGGUGCAAGAGGCGAACCAGGGGAACUGAAACAUCUAAGUACCCUGAGGAAAAGAAAUCAACCGAGAUUCCCUUAGUAGUGGCGAGCGAACGGGGAUUAGCCCUUAAGCUUCAUUGAUUUUAGCGGAACGCUCUGGAAAGUGCGGCCAUAGUGGGUGAUAGCCCCGUACGCGAAAGGAUCUUUGAAGUGAAAUCGAGUAGGACGGAGCACGAGAAACUUUGUCUGAACAUGGGGGACCAUCCUCCAAGGCUAAAUACUACUGACUGACCGAUAGUGAACCAGUACCGUGAGGGAAAGGCGAAAAGAACCCCGGAGAGGGGAGUGAAAUAGAACCUGAAACCGUAUGCGUACAAGCAGUGGGAGCCUACUUGUUAGGUGACUGCGUACCUUUUGUAUAAUGGGUCAGCGACUUAUAUUCAGUGGCAAGCUUAACCGUAUAGGGUAGGCGUAGCGAAAGCGAGUCUUAAUAGGGCGUUUAGUCGCUGGGUAUAGACCCGAAACCGGGCGAUCUAUCCAUGAGCAGGUUGAAGGUUAGGUAACACUGACUGGAGGACCGAACCCACUCCCGUUGAAAAGGUAGGGGAUGACUUGUGGAUCGGAGUGAAAGGCUAAUCAAGCUCGGAGAUAGCUGGUUCUCCUCGAAAGCUAUUUAGGUAGCGCCUCAUGUAUCACUCUGGGGGGUAGAGCACUGUUUCGGCUAGGGGGUCAUCCCGACUUACCAAACCGAUGCAAACUCCGAAUACCCAGAAGUGCCGAGCAUGGGAGACACACGGCGGGUGCUAACGUCCGUCGUGAAAAGGGAAACAACCCAGACCGCCAGCUAAGGUCCCAAAGUUGUGGUUAAGUGGUAAACGAUGUGGGAAGGCUUAGACAGCUAGGAGGUUGGCUUAGAAGCAGCCACCCUUUAAAGAAAGCGUAAUAGCUCACUAGUCGAGUCGGCCUGCGCGGAAGAUGUAACGGGGCUCAAACCACACACCGAAGCUGCGGGUGUCACGUAAGUGACGCGGUAGAGGAGCGUUCUGUAAGCCUGUGAAGGUGAGUUGAGAAGCUUGCUGGAGGUAUCAGAAGUGCGAAUGCUGACAUGAGUAACGACAAUGGGUGUGAAAAACACCCACGCCGAAAGACCAAGGGUUCCUGCGCAACGUUAAUCGACGCAGGGUUAGUCGGUUCCUAAGGCGAGGCUGAAAAGCGUAGUCGAUGGGAAACAGGUUAAUAUUCCUGUACUUCUGGUUACUGCGAUGGAGGGACGGAGAAGGCUAGGCCAGCUUGGCGUUGGUUGUCCAAGUUUAAGGUGGUAGGCUGAAAUCUUAGGUAAAUCCGGGGUUUCAAGGCCGAGAGCUGAUGACGAGUCGUCUUUUAGAUGACGAAGUGGUUGAUGCCAUGCUUCCAAGAAAAGCUUCUAAGCUUCAGGUAACCAGGAACCGUACCCCAAACCGACACAGGUGGUCGGGUAGAGAAUACCAAGGCGCUUGAGAGAACUCGGGUGAAGGAACUAGGCAAAAUGGCACCGUAACUUCGGGAGAAGGUGCGCCGGCUAGGGUGAAGGAUUUACUCCGUAAGCUCUGGCUGGUCGAAGAUACCAGGCCGCUGCGACUGUUUAUUAAAAACACAGCACUCUGCAAACACGAAAGUGGACGUAUAGGGUGUGACGCCUGCCCGGUGCCGGAAGGUUAAUUGAUGGGGUUAGCGCAAGCGAAGCUCUUGAUCGAAGCCCCGGUAAACGGCGGCCGUAACUAUAACGGUCCUAAGGUAGCGAAAUUCCUUGUCGGGUAAGUUCCGACCUGCACGAAUGGCGUAACGAUGGCGGCGCUGUCUCCACCCGAGACUCAGUGAAAUUGAAAUCGCUGUGAAGAUGCAGUGUAUCCGCGGCUAGACGGAAAGACCCCGUGAACCUUUACUGUAGCUUUGCACUGGACUUUGAGCCUGCUUGUGUAGGAUAGGUGGGAGGCUUUGAAGCGUGGACGCCAGUUCGCGUGGAGCCAUCCUUGAAAUACCACCCUGGCAUGCUUGAGGUUCUAACUCUGGUCCGUAAUCCGGAUCGAGGACAGUGUAUGGUGGGCAGUUUGACUGGGGCGGUCUCCUCCUAAAGAGUAACGGAGGAGUACGAAGGUGCGCUCAGACCGGUCGGAAAUCGGUCGUAGAGUAUAAAGGCAAAAGCGCGCUUGACUGCGAGACAGACACGUCGAGCAGGUACGAAAGUAGGUCUUAGUGAUCCGGUGGUUCUGUAUGGAAGGGCCAUCGCUCAACGGAUAAAAGGUACUCCGGGGAUAACAGGCUGAUACCGCCCAAGAGUUCAUAUCGACGGCGGUGUUUGGCACCUCGAUGUCGGCUCAUCACAUCCUGGGGCUGAAGCCGGUCCCAAGGGUAUGGCUGUUCGCCAUUUAAAGUGGUACGCGAGCUGGGUUUAGAACGUCGUGAGACAGUUCGGUCCCUAUCUGCCGUGGACGUUUGAGAUUUGAGAGGGGCUGCUCCUAGUACGAGAGGACCGGAGUGGACGAACCUCUGGUGUUCCGGUUGUCACGCCAGUGGCAUUGCCGGGUAGCUAUGUUCGGAAAAGAUAACCGCUGAAAGCAUCUAAGCGGGAAACUUGCCUCAAGAUGAGAUCUCACUGGGAACUUGAUUCCCCUGAAGGGCCGUCGAAGACUACGACGUUGAUAGGCUGGGUGUGUAAGCGUUGUGAGGCGUUGAGCUAACCAGUACUAAUUGCCCGUGAGGCUUGACCA